CCUACGGGAGGCAGCAGUGAGGAAUAUUGGUCAAUGGGCGUGAGCCUGAACCAGCCAAGUAGCGUGAGGGACGACUGCCCUAUGGGUUGUAAACCUCUUUUAUGCGGGAAUAACGUCGCCUACGUGUAGGCGAGUGCAUGUACCGCAUGAAUAAGCAUCGGCUAAUUCCGUGCCAGCAGCCGCGGUAAU
This 189-nucleotide ribosomal RNA is filed under the name uncultured bacterium. Its description in RNAcentral is "partial 16S ribosomal RNA". It matches the Rfam family "Bacterial small subunit ribosomal RNA", at positions 338 to 524 of the family's 1533-position model. The record is from RNAcentral.